Molecule: transfer RNA, 77 nt
Filed under: Hippoglossus stenolepis (Pacific halibut)
Lineage: Eukaryota; Metazoa; Chordata; Actinopteri; Pleuronectiformes; Pleuronectidae
Description: tRNA-Leu
Rfam family: tRNA
About the family: Transfer RNA (tRNA) molecules are approximately 80 nucleotides in length.
Source: RNAcentral
ACCAGGAUGGCCGAGUGGUUAAGGCGUUGCACUCAAGAUGCAAUGGAUUCAAAGUGGGUUCAACUGUACUCCUGGUA